Molecule: long non-coding RNA, 5124 nt
Organism: Bombus huntii
Lineage: Eukaryota; Metazoa; Arthropoda; Insecta; Hymenoptera; Apidae
Exons: 5
Source: RefSeq, a predicted model, not a curated record
AAUGAUUGACAAGCAUGGAACUCGGCCGAAGCAAAGGACGCGGCAGAAUGAAAAGUAGCAAAGCUAUUCCUGCGGUUGGUGUUUCCUCCGGCUGCUCUCGACGCCAGACUCGCCAACCAGCCAACCAGCACCCUCUCCCGCGUGUCAGGCAUAUCAUCAAUCUUGUUAUGUUUUCUCGCGUACUCGGAUGUGGAUUUAGACUCGAGACUCCGCCAAGAUCUCUGGAAUCGUAGGUGAACGCGCCCAUCGCGAACCGUUUGUCUUCAUUCGACCAAACUGAUCAAAACCUGACUGCUGCUCUCUACCGGCGCGACCCAUCCGCCGGAUGUCGCGAGUGCACCCAUUCCAACAAAAAUUCCACGAGGAACGCUGCAAUUUCUUUUUUGUGAGUGGAUCGAUGAGAGUUUUGAGUUUUUCAGCGAUGUUUUCGUCGUGCUAUCACCUUAGUGCGAUUGUGGUUAUGAGAAAUUGCUCUCCAAGUGGAAAAAGUAUUUUUGGAAUAGUGGUGUAUUUUAUUCUUUUUAUACGCGAAGCGGUGGAAGUAUUGGCUUAACAUGUGUAAAGGUGAGUUAAUGACCUCGAAGUCGAGCCGCUGAUUCUAAUGAAGAAAUUCAUGUCGGACCGUUGAGAGAGGCGCUAGCACGCUCUUGUGAAACGAGAGAGUUCUUCUGUCGGCUAAGGACACUUUGAUGAUGUUUGCGUAUUAACUAAUGAUCCUCUCCACCUAUGUGCAUUCCCUGAUGAAGGAAAUUAUGGUUGAAAUUGAUGCGCGCGCCGCUGUUAACGAGCCGCGUGCGUCGCGUGUUGCCAUCUUUGGUUUAGGUCGACGUUACAUACGUUCCGAGUUAUUAUUCAAGUAAUUUGAAUUUCUUUGGCGAUGAUUUAAAUCUGAAUUGGCGAAGAUUAAUAAAAGAGAAGAAUAAAGGUUAAUAAAAUUUGAAAAGUAAUAUGCAACAGAUUAAGAUCCGAGGAAUAAGAAAAAAUUAUAUAAUUCCUCGAGAAUGACGCUAAGGAAUAAAUAAGUUGCAGGAAGUUAACCGCCAUUAUAAACAUUUCCUCGUUAAUCAUAACGACCGGUGCAUUGAAACAUGCUUCAUCGACCUUUGAGCAGGUUUUCUAUUAGUCGUGCUCGAGUUUUUCCACGGCUAGCAAUUCGCUCUGAAUUGCAGAUUUUCCAUUUUCUUAAUUGCAACGCGCGCUGUCACCCCUUUUUUCUUCCUAUCGUCCAGGCAAUCUGUAAUGUGUCAGGAUUACAUACCGCGAUUAGGUACUCACAUAUCGCAAAUACAUUAAUACACUUUAUCGAUGGCUUACCUUGAUCAUUUUUUUACAAUGCAAACGGUUUAAACAAGAUUUAUUUAAAAUAUAGUCGCAUCCCGUCAGCGCAACGUUAAGUAUGUGAAUUAAUCAUCAUAAAUUAUUGUUUUAUAAGAAUAAAUUAAUUUUUCUGUAGGUUUAAGUAAAAGCGUAAAUAACUUUGAUCUUCACCUUACUUGAUUGAGAUACGAUUACCUGAUCACGAGAUACUAAAAGUCAUCUAACUUACUACAAUCUUCUUAAUAGUUAUCGAAUUGCGAAUUUUAUAAGUGGGCUGUGGAUUUUUAUGCAAAUUCAUAUUUUUAUGAACACAACUGAAAAAUAGAAUCUACAUCCUUACUCUGAAUAAUUCAUAUAUUUUUAUAAUUCUUGAAUUUCGAUAAAUACACAGCCAAUUUAUAAAAAUACUAUUUUACAAGGAUAUUUGAUUGUAAUCAUAAGUAGCAAAAAUGUAAGAAACUUCCAUUAUCAUUAUGUCGUUCUCGAUUGAAACAAGGUCAAUCAGGAAUAUUAUUGUACAAAUAGAAUUAUUAAUCAGAAAUAUAAAAAAAUUAUUGAGCUUGUAACUUGAUCUUCAGCGAUGAUCCGCCACGCAAUGUGUUACAUUUGAUCUAAUUUUACAAUUCCGCUGUUCAGCUCGUUUACACGUUAUCGAUGGUAUCACAAACAUUGACUAACAUUAGAAAUAAAAACGAGUCGAGUUGCUCAAUAAUAUCUACUCUCUAACAAGUUUCCAUUCCAUCGCAUUCCAAGUACAAUUUCACACAAAGGAAAUCACUGGUCAUUUAGAAAAAUGUGCAGCGCGUUUGCCGCCAUGAAACAUUCUUUUUCCAUCUGAAUCGUUACGAAAUCUUUGGAUUUUUUCCCCCUUUACCUUCGCUCGGUUGUUACGAGCUCGCGCGCCUAUGGAUAGUGGGCAGGCUACUCGACCGGUAAUUACGGCCGUGUAUGCACUUCAUUAGCACUUACGAACGGUUGCGUAACGACCGGCAUGUCAUUUUAAUGUGAGCACGAUCAAAGAUUAAUGGACGCGUCGCAGCCGUUACCGAAGGAUGCAAGAAAACGCGCGCGCGAACGCUACGGCUUCUCUUAUGGUCGACCGUGAAUAAAAGGAUAGGAUCUCGAAUUGAAAAAGAUGAAACGACGGGCCGACUCUUACGCCGUGAACGAAUCAUUUUCUUUGUCGCUCUUCUGGAAAACGCAAUCGGCUUAAAUUCGACGUUUUUGUCGGAUUGAAUCUGGACAACGAGGAUUCUUUAGACAUUUAAAAAUAUCAGAUAAAUUGCAUAGUUGUGUGGACUAUGUAUGUAAUGGAUGAACAUUUAUAGAAUCGCUUACUUAAUAUUAUUACAGAUUCUUUGAAAAUAUGCCUCUCUGUAUUCGGUAUUCUUUAUCUAUCUAGAAGCUGUAAUGCAUCUGAAUUCUCAAGAAAGUACAUAUUUCAACCUCAAUUUAAGAAUACUAUAAUCUUCAUUGUACAGACAAUUAAUAUACGAAUAAUAGAUUCAAUUCAUCCUUAUUAUUCUCCUAUUACAAAACGCAUAUUCAAAGCCUAAUUUUAGCUGAAUCUUUGUUAUACAAAUAGUUAUCAUUGAACAAAUAAAAAAUGAAUUCCCAACCGACUUCUCUAGAUCUUCAGCAUUCUUUGCAACAUUACACAAUUACCGAAUUAAUUGUAGAAAGUAAGAAGCGUUUAACAGACUAACAAACCACGAAAAUAGCGAACUUUCUAAAUGCAUCGAAACAUACAAUAUUUCAUUCAUAUUAAAAAUAAUCGACUCCCACAAACUUUGAACCCGCUUGUACGACCGUUGGUACAAGAAUGUGCACGCUAUAAUGCAAUGUGUGCAUCGUGGCGUCAAGUCGGGUCGCCAAUUGUAGAGCGCGGUUCAUCGUCUACUAGCCUUUCUCUCUCAGUGUAUUGUGUGUAGUCGUGGAAUCGCGACGAGUUGCUAUUAAUAACGGUCAUUAAUUCUUGAUCGCCUCUAACAGAUUUUUUUUUUACAUGGUAGAAUCAGUUCGCAUAGUUGAAGAACGCGUGGUUGAAAAACGAUCGCGAGCAACGAACAUGAUUAACGCACGUGCCGCUUUUAACUUCUUCGUUGGCCCAGUAUGUGAUCGAAGGUGUUCAACUGUCGUCUGUUGCAGUUCAGCUCGUUCACCUGAAAAUAUUUUGAGAUCAGUAUGCUGAAAUUUAUCAUUGAAUUUAACAAACUUAAAAGCAUAGUGUCUACAAGCAGUUUUUAUCUAAUACAUGCGUUUCGAUACGAAUUAUUCUGUUGCUGUUCCAAGAAGCGAGAUGCCUCUGAAAGGAUUCGAUGAACAGUUAAAAACUGGCGCUCUCACUAGCCAGGAUCGAGAGUUGAAGCGCGAAGUCACUCGAGAAUAGACCUGUUAUGUCAAGUCACCGUUACAACGAACAGGGAAGCAUCUAUUUCUGCUAAACGUAUCGCGAAACGAAUAUUCUCACAAAGGAAACCUGGCUCGAUUGCAAUUUUCAGAAAAAUUAUCAAUCAAAGCAAAAAAAAAAACUAAACGAUAUUUAAUAAAAAAAUUUCUAACGGGAAGCUAACUUUAGCAUUUCAAAGGAUUUCGAUUUCUAAUCCAAGCAAAUGUUUACAAUUCUACAUUCAAAAAUUCUAUGUUUCACCUAAAAAUUCAUCAUACUUUCUUUCAAACUAACCUAAACUAAAACUACAACCCUUGAAUGCGCCGCAAAGUUGUAACCCUAAGUUCAGCAAACAACGCUCAACAGUUAGUUAACAAAGAGUAAUAUUAUUAUUUCCAUGUUCUCGAAGAAACUUUCUAAACAUAGAUCGAGUCGAUGCAUUCAAAGUAAGCCACGAAUCAUCGAAGCCAGAAACGUAAUGGCGGCGCCGGUUCGUUCUCUACUCGAAGGUUUCGAUACGCCGUUAAAGAUAAAUCCUGUUAUGUCACUUGGCACACUUCUCGGACGUAUAUCAUAGCAGGUUAUCUUAGCGACAAUAAUCAUAUUACACCUGCACUACCGAUAGUGAUUGAUGCUCGUCCCUGAGUUCGAAAGCACCUGAGCGUUAACGGCUCGCGGAUGACACAGCUGAAUGCAGGCAAGGCCGUGUUCUCCUUCGUCCUCUUUCUCCUCCCAUUCCUUAGCGGUACAGCUCCUUUUAUUUGAGCACGCGUGUCGAUGUACCUUGCGUUUCCAGGUUACUUGGUCAUCGCUGUUGUGUUUACCUGAAAAUCAACGCGGGAACCUCGUUAGAUUCGUUGUCUCUUCGUCCAACUUCGUUAUACGGAUAACAACAAAAUGUGGAUUGAUCUUUUAAAUGGAUUUUGUUAUUAGAAUGUUGGUAAUGAAAGGAAGAGGAGACAGAGGUAUAAGAAGACCGAGUUCGGGAAGCGUUUUAGGACAAAUUCACCAAAGUACGCUGCAUUGCAAAUACAUGCAUAUCAAGAGAACACUUUGAAGGUGUAUUUAAUGUGUAAUUUAAGAAAUAUUUAAGAGAUUGAAAAUGUUAAUGUUGUGAGUAAACUGCGUUUAUGACAGAUUUAAGGAUGCAAAAAUAUAUGUUAAUUAGAAGAGUUAUUCCAUUCGAAUUGUACAAAUAUAGAAGAUUAAUUUGCAGGAUUAGGUGUGUUUCGUAGAUUGUCAAAAUAUUUAACCUAACGAGGUUAUUUCGCCUGGAAAAUCGAAAUCGAUAGGUUUGCGAGAUUCUUCGAGGGUUAGUCCUCUCAAAACCUAGUCUUCCCUUUACGAAUUGGGAUUAACUGGAAUUAAGGCAGGUCGAGUCAAAAACCUGGCGUUAAAGUAGACGUUUUAUUUGUAUG